GUUUACGGCCAUACCACCCUGAACACGCCCGAUCUCGUCUGAUCUCGGAAGCUAAGCAGGGUCGGGCCUGGUUAGUACUUGGAUGGGAGAUUGCCUGGGAAUACCAGGUGCUGUAAGCU
This 119-nucleotide ribosomal RNA is filed under the name Carassius auratus (goldfish). Lineage: Eukaryota; Metazoa; Chordata; Actinopteri; Cypriniformes; Cyprinidae. The record is from RNAcentral.